AAACCCAACAGGAUAGGAAUAAAAGAAAAAACAGCCCAUAGGAAAUAUAGAGAGGGAUUGAGGAGUGGGGAUUCGAGCGCCUUUUGUUCGAUUUCUUGCCCUCCCCCGCCUCCGUCCUCUCGAUAUUACCUUCCAGCCCUCGGAUCUCCCACCAGGUACGCGAUUCCCAGAAAUCUCCCCCGAUUUCUCUCGCUUCAAUCCUUAAUAAUCUCUCUUUAAAACCCUAGCUUUGUAUCCUGCUAGAAUCUUAAAUCUGGAUCCCUAUAUUCGCCCAUAUCUGUUGUUUUGGAUCAAAAUCGGAUUUUUUCUCGAUGGAAGAGCGAUUCCGUGGGGUAACGCCUAAAAUCUUAUGCUCCGCUCUUCCCACUUUUCAG
RNAcentral lists this long non-coding RNA (374 nucleotides) under Phoenix dactylifera (date palm). Its description in RNAcentral is "long non-coding RNA (PDAC_LNC013746)". The record is from RNAcentral. Lineage: Eukaryota; Viridiplantae; Streptophyta; Magnoliopsida; Arecales; Arecaceae.